UCAAGUGAGGGAAAAUUUAUUAUGAAAGAUGAGAGGGUUAAAAUAUAACUCUUAGAUUAAUUUUCUCUCACUUAUGCCCUGGGCGACACACGUGCUAUAAUGGACAGGACAAAGGAUCGCGAUCCCACGAGGGUGAACUAACUCUAAAAACCCGUCCUCAGAUCGGAUUAUAGGCUGCAACUCGCCUGCAUGAAGCUGGAAUCGCUAGUAAUCAUCGGUCAGCCAUACGGCAAUGAAUUUGUUCC
This 245-nucleotide non-coding RNA is filed under the name Cajanus cajan (pigeon pea). RNAcentral's name for it is "Bacterial small subunit ribosomal RNA". It matches the Rfam family "Bacterial small subunit ribosomal RNA", at positions 1001 to 1374 of the family's 1533-position model. Lineage: Eukaryota; Viridiplantae; Streptophyta; Magnoliopsida; Fabales; Fabaceae. The record is from Rfam by way of RNAcentral.